CAGAGGUCUCGUUGGUGACCAGCGGAGGGUCAUUACCGAGUUUACAACUCCCAAACCCAAUGUGAACGUUACCAAACUGUUGCCUCGGCGGGAUCUCUGCCCCGGGUGCGUCGCAGCCCCGGACCAAGGCGCCCGCCGGAGGACCAACCAAAACUCUUUUUGUAUACCCCCUCGCGGGUUUUUUUAUAAUCUGAGCCUUCUCGGCGCCUCUCGUAGGCGUUUCGAAAAUGAAUCAAAACUUUCAACAACGGAUCUCUUGGUUCUGGCAUCGAUGAAGAACGCAGCGAAAUGCGAUAAGUAAUGUGAAUUGCAGAAUUCAGUGAAUCAUCGAAUCUUUGAACGCACAUUGCGCCCGCCAGUAUUCUGGCGGGCAUGCCUGUCCGAGCGUCAUUUCAACCCUCGAACCCCUCCGGGGGGUCGGCGUUGGGGAUCGGCCCUGCCUCUUGGCGGUGGCCGUCUCCGAAAUACAGUGGCGGUCUCGCCGCAGCCUCUCCUGCGCAGUAGUUUGCACACUCGCAUCGGGAGCGCGGCGCGUCCACAGCCGUUAAACACCCAACUUCUGAAAUGUUGACCUCGGAUCAGGUAGGAAUACCCGCUGAACUUAAGCAUACUAA
Molecule: ribosomal RNA, 614 nt
Filed under: Trichoderma harzianum
Lineage: Eukaryota; Fungi; Ascomycota; Sordariomycetes; Hypocreales; Hypocreaceae
Description: eukaryotic LSU rRNA
Rfam family: 5.8S ribosomal RNA (bases 237-390)
Source: RNAcentral